UUAAUCCUGCCGCCAUUUUCAUUUCUGUUACGCACUUUAUUCAACCCUCCGAUUGGAGCAGGUUUUAUUGCUUUACCUUUGUCUACUUUACUUUCCCGCACUGUCUUUACUUUAUUUAUUUCUCGCACUCGCACUACUUUCAUUUAUUUCUCGCACUCACACUACUUUCCUUUAUUUCUCGCACUCGCACUACUUUCGUUUAUUUCUCCCACUCGCACUUUACUUUGUUUAUUUCUCGCACCGCACUACUUUUAUUU
Molecule: long non-coding RNA, 257 nt
Filed under: Lathyrus oleraceus (garden pea)
Lineage: Eukaryota; Viridiplantae; Streptophyta; Magnoliopsida; Fabales; Fabaceae
Description: Pisum sativum (pea) long non-coding RNA (PSAT_LNC017295)
Source: RNAcentral